UACGGGGGGGGCAAGCGUUGUUCGGAAUUACUGGGCGUAAAGCGUGCGCAGGCGGUUUUGUAAGACUGUCGUGAAAUCCCCGGGCUCAACCUGGGAAUGGCGAUGGUGACUGCAAGGCUAGAGUUUGGCAGAGGGGGGUAGAAUUCCACGUGUAGCAGUGAAAUGCGUAGAUAUGUGGAGGAACACCGAUGGCGAAGGCAGCCCCCUGGGUCAAAACUGACGCUCAUGCACGAAAGCGUGGGGAGCAAACAG
RNAcentral lists this ribosomal RNA (252 nucleotides) under uncultured prokaryote. RNAcentral's name for it is "partial 16S ribosomal RNA". It matches the Rfam family "Bacterial small subunit ribosomal RNA", at positions 524 to 775 of the family's 1533-position model. The record is from RNAcentral.